UACGGAGGGUGCGAGCGUUGCUCGGAAUUAUUGGGCGUAAAGCGUACGCAGGCGGUUUGUUGCGUCGGCUGUGAAAUCCCGAGGCUCAACCUCGGGUCUGCAGUCGAUACGAGCAAACUAGAGUGUUGCAGGGGAGACUGGAAUUCCUGGUGUAGCGGUGAAAUGCGCAGAUAUCAGGAGGAACACCGGUGGCGAAGGCGGGUCUCUGGGCAACAACUGACGCUGAGGAGCGAAAGCGUGGGGAGCGAACAGG
RNAcentral lists this ribosomal RNA (253 nucleotides) under uncultured bacterium. Its description in RNAcentral is "partial 16S ribosomal RNA". It matches the Rfam family "Bacterial small subunit ribosomal RNA", at positions 524 to 776 of the family's 1533-position model. The record is from RNAcentral.